GUUUUAAUAAUUUAAAUAAAAUAAUGAUCUUGUAAAUCAUAAAUGGAUAAUUAAAUCCUUAAAACU
RNAcentral lists this transfer RNA (66 nucleotides) under Eumenotes sp. HEM140. RNAcentral describes it as "tRNA-Thr". Lineage: Eukaryota; Metazoa; Arthropoda; Insecta; Hemiptera; Dinidoridae. The record is from RNAcentral.